This 453-nucleotide ribosomal RNA is filed under the name uncultured eukaryote. Its description in RNAcentral is "partial 18S ribosomal RNA". It matches the Rfam family "Eukaryotic small subunit ribosomal RNA", at positions 1470 to 1796 of the family's 1831-position model. The record is from RNAcentral.
CCCUUAGAUGUUCUGGGCCGCACGCGCGCUACACUGGCUGGCUCAACAAGCAUCUCACCUGCGCUGGCGUGCGGGUUGGUGUGUGUGUGGAGUUUACUCCCUGCUGCAUCAGCUCAGCGCUGCUUAGCUCUGCUAAGUCGAGAGGCGUGGGCAAUCUUGAAAGGCCAGCCGUGUCUGGGAUAGGCUCUUGCAAUUUUCAGCCUUGAACGAGGAAUUCCUAGUAAAUGUGGGUCAUCAACCCGCAUUGAUUACGUCCCUGCCCUUUGUACACACCGCCCGUCGCACCUACCGAUUGAAUGGUCCGGUGAAAUCUCUGGACAGGCUUUUGUGCCUCUGCUUGAGGUAACUUGAGUGAGUGCACAAGCAGGCAGUGGUUGGUGUUUGCCAGCUGCAGCUCUGUUUGCCUGGAAGUUGAUUAAAUCUUACCAUUUAGAGGAAGGUGAAGUCGUAACA